UACGUAGGGUGCGAGCGUUAAUCGGAAUUACUGGGCGUAAAGCGUGCGCAGGCGGCUUUGCAAGACAGAUGUGAAAUCCCCGGGCUCGACCUGGGAACUGCAUUUGUGACUGCAAGGCUAGAGUACGGUAGAGGGGGAUGGAAUUCCGCGUGUAGCAGUGACAUGCGUAGAUAUGCGGAGGAACACCGAUGGCGAAGGCAAUCCCCUGGACCUGUACUGACGCUCAUGCACGAAAGCGUGGGGAGCAAACAGG
This 253-nucleotide ribosomal RNA is filed under the name uncultured bacterium. Its description in RNAcentral is "partial 16S ribosomal RNA". It matches the Rfam family "Bacterial small subunit ribosomal RNA", at positions 524 to 776 of the family's 1533-position model. The record is from RNAcentral.